GACGAUCCGUACGAACGUUAUUCGGAAUCACUGGGCUUAAAGGGUGCGUAGGCGGCGCAGAAAGUAGGGUGUGAAAUCCCUCGGCUUAACCGAGGAACUGCGCUCUAAACUACUGUGCUCGAGUGAGAUAGAGGUGAGCGGAACUUAGGGUGGAGCGGUGAAAUGCGUUGAUAUCCUAAGGAACACCGGUGGCGAAAGCGGCUCACUGGAUCUCUUCUGACGCUGAGGCACGAAAGCUAGGGUAGCAAACGGG
Molecule: ribosomal RNA, 253 nt
Filed under: uncultured bacterium
Lineage: Bacteria
Description: partial 16S ribosomal RNA
Rfam family: Bacterial small subunit ribosomal RNA
Source: RNAcentral